This is a long non-coding RNA of Mus musculus (house mouse), 1712 nucleotides long. RefSeq annotates it as predicted gene, 46351. Lineage: Eukaryota; Metazoa; Chordata; Mammalia; Rodentia; Muridae. The record is from RefSeq and is a predicted model, not a curated record. The transcript is spliced from 4 exons.
CAAAGCAAUUAGGCUCCAAAUCAUAAUGUUUCAUUACAAUGGGAGUCUUAGACAGCACAAGAGGAUUCUGAAGCUCCGAGUUCCUCCUACUCUUUUGUUACCCCAUUUAUCACCCAGGGAACGGAUUCUGCUCACUCCCACACACUGUCUCACCCUCUUGUAUUGGAAGGUGCUGACCGUGACUCAGCCUGCACCUCGUCUUGCUUUCAAGCCUCCCUACACAAUGCGCUCUUGCCAGCACUUCAGGAUUCAGCUUAGCGGCGUGAUUCAGGCUGUUUCCAUUUUCCGAAUCAUCUUUCCCCACCCGAGGACCAUCGUCUGCCCUCACUUUGGCGGCAGCUGGAUCUGGUAGCUUAUUUUCAGUCCCUGUGUGCUGAGAACUGCUUGGACAUCCCACAGUGACCUUUCUGGUUAUAGAGAGCAGGACAGGUAAACAAUGGAGCUGAAACACACAGCAUGGUGAUUCUGGAUGAACAUACAAUGGUGAGGUGAACUCGUAGCUGUAACCAGACUGCAUGUACUCAUUAGACCAAGUCACUGGCAAUAGUGAUGGAGAAAAUCAGAUUGGGAGAGAUAAGGUCCUUCAAGAAGGUGAACUCCCAGAGAAAAAGGGUCUUAGUGAAGACUGUUGACAUCUUCAAAACCUGCAUAAUGAGCUCAGUGCAUUUGUUACUGGACACUGACCCAGACUCACCAGCUGUUAGAGACUCUGGGUCUUUUAGGACUGACUCUUAAAAUCCCUUGAUGCCUCAUUGGGUUUGAGAAGAUAAUAAAUAUAACCAGACGAGCUAACUGAAUUCAGACCUCUUAGAAAACAAGUGUAUGAAAACCCACCCAGAACCUGAAAACAAACAAACAAACAAACAAACAAACAAACAAACAAACAAACCACUUUGCCAUUAUGAAUCAUAAUCCCCAAAGGACAUGUUUGUAUUGAUUUUCUAGAUGCUGUGAUAAGGCACCACAAACCACACAGGUUAAAUCUCUACAUGUGUGCUCCCUCAGUUUCAGAGGCUGACAGUCCAACAUAAGGUGUGAACAGCACUCUUACUCUAAAGUUAAGAGAUACCUGUUCUUUGUCUAGAUACUAGGAACUCUAGAUAGUCCUCAACUCAUGAUUUACAGUAUUCUUCUCUACCCAUGGCCUCUCUCUCUCUCUCUACACACACACACACACACACACACACACACACACACACACCUAUGUCUUCUUGUCUGUCUCUCACAAAGGCAUCUGUCAUUGGGUGCAUAUCCUACCUGGGAAAUCCAGGUUGAGCUCUUCUGGACAUUUGUCCCUUAAUUAAAUCUACAAAAUCUAUAUUCAAAAUUACAUGGCAUUCUGAGGUUCUAGAUGGAUUUAGCUCCCUGCCAGCAUUCAGCCAUUCAAAUCCUCAUACUAGCCCAUAAGGUAAGUAAGCCCAAAUAUUUUUAUAUAAAAGAUGUAGGGGGUAGAAGCUUGGAUUUUUUUCAGAAUGUAUUAAGUAGUUGUCUAAAAUAAUGAAGACCUUGACUCUAAACUUAUGUCUCCAAAUAACCUAAUCAGCUACUAAAUAAUAACCCACAUGUUUGGGGGGACUCUAGUCCAUGCUGUCAUUAAUGUUUAAAAUAAGAUAGAAGGUAUAGUUGAGACUAACUCAGUUUGUAAAUUCACCAGGUUGUAUGACCCAGUCUGCCCAGUGGUCUGGAAUGCCAUAUUGGGAGAAUUAUGUAUG